ACUCCUACGGGAGGCAGCAGUGGGGAAUAUUGCACAAUGGGCGCAAGCCUGAUGCAGCGACGCCGCGUGAGGGAUGACGGCCUUCGGGUUGUAAACCUCUUUCAGCAGGGAAGAAGCGAAAGUGACGGUACCUGCAGAAGAAGCGCCGGCUAACUACGUGCCAGCAGCCGCGGUAAUACGUAGGGCGCAAGCGUUGUCCGGAAUUAUUGGGCGUAAAGAGCUCGUAGGCGGUUUGUCGCGUCUGCUGUGAAAACCUAAGGCUCAACCUUGGGCUUGCAGUGGGUACGGGCAGACUAGAGUGCGGUAGGGGUGACUGGAAUUCCUGGUGUAGCGGUGGAAUGCGCAGAUAUCAGGAGGAACACCGAUGGCGAAGGCAGGUCACUGGGCCGCAACUGACGCUGAGGAGCGAAAGCAUGGGGAGCGAACGGGAUUAGAUACCCUGGUAGUCCAUGCCGUAAACGUUGGGCACUAGGUGUGGGGCUCAUUCCACGAGUUCCGUGCCGCAGCAAACGCAUUAAGUGCCCCGCCUGGGGAGUACGGCCGCAAGGCUAAAACUCAAAGAAAUUGACGGGGGCCCGCACAAGCGGCGGAGCAUGCGGAUUAAUUCGAUGCAACGCGAAGAACCUUACCAAGGCUUGACAUACACCGGAAAAGUGCAGAGAUGUGCUCCCCGCAAGGUCGGUGUACAGGUGGUGCAUGGUUGUCGUCAGCUCGUGUCGUGAGAUGUUGGGUUAAGUCCCGCAACGAGCGCAACCCUCGUCCCAUGUUGCCAGCGGGUUAUGCCGGGGACUCAUGGGAGACUGCCGGGGUCAACUCGGA
Molecule: ribosomal RNA, 819 nt
Filed under: uncultured Actinomycetes bacterium
Lineage: Bacteria; Bacillati; Actinomycetota; Actinomycetes
Description: bacterial SSU rRNA
Rfam family: Bacterial small subunit ribosomal RNA
Source: RNAcentral